Molecule: long non-coding RNA, 841 nt
Filed under: Centruroides sculpturatus (bark scorpion)
Lineage: Eukaryota; Metazoa; Arthropoda; Arachnida; Scorpiones; Buthidae
Description: uncharacterized LOC111630861
Source: RNAcentral
AAAAAAAUAUAUAUUAUUUAGGAGAAUUUAAAAUUUAAUAAAUUAACAAACACUGUUAUUUUAGUCAGAUGCGACAUACAGUAUUGUUGAAAAAGAAGCUAUCAUUCUAGCUAAUAAACUGCAAGCAGAAUACUGGUCAGUUUCAUCAAAAACAGGAGAAAAUGUAAAGGACUUCUUCUUUCGAUUAGCCGCUCUGGCUUUUAAUUUUUCAGUCCUCAGGGAGUUGGUUUCUCCAAGUAGAAAAGAAAUAUCGGAAGAUUUUGUCAGAUUGCACAACAACAAAGAUACUUUUGAAGUAAAGAAAUCAAAAUGUUCCAGUUGCAGAAGAUGAAGUAAUGCAGUUAUUUGUGCCUGUUUUUAGUCCAUCAAAAGUCAUUUUUUUAUAUAUUUGCCAUAAAGUUUCAGUAUUUUUUAUUUAGUUUUAUUAAAAACACUCACAAAUAUUCAACGCACCAAAUUGAUAUUUUUCCACAUUAUACGACAUAUCAUACAUCGGUGCCGAAAACGUAUACUCAGAAAUUUUGACUCUGGACUUGCCAUACUCUUGCAAUUUAAACAAUAUUUGCUACUCUAAUUGUUACAGUUUAAUAAGAAGUAAUUAAAAUUGCAAUAUUUAAAUUGAAUUUUAUGAAAUUUAAAAAAUUAAUACUCAUAUAUUCACAUUCUUUUAAAGAAAAAUUAGUAUUUAUAUAUAUAUUUUGAAUUAAAAUUGGAUCAUUUAUGUUUCAGGUAUUCUUCUUUGAUAAAUUUUCACGUUUCUUAUAUAAAAUAUCCAAAUAUCUGUCAUAUUAAUGCGUAAAAUUGUGUAUAACACUUCAUAAAGUUGUUUGCGCAUACAAAU